Molecule: ribosomal RNA, 253 nt
Filed under: uncultured bacterium
Lineage: Bacteria
Description: partial 16S ribosomal RNA
Rfam family: Bacterial small subunit ribosomal RNA
Source: RNAcentral
UACGUAGGGUGCAAGCGUUGUCCGGAAUUAUUGGGCGUAAAGAGCUCGUAGGCGGUUCGUCGCGUCGGCUGUGAAAUCCCGGAGCUCAACUCCGGGUCUGCAGUCGAUACGGGCGGACUCGAGUUCGGCAGGGGAGACUGGAAUUCCUGGUGUAGCGGUGAAAUGCGCAGAUAUCAGGAGGAACACCGGUGGCGAAGGCGGGUCUCUGGGCCGAUACUGACGCUGAGACGCGAAAGCGUGGGGAGCAAACAGG